RNAcentral lists this long non-coding RNA (649 nucleotides) under Danio rerio (zebrafish). RNAcentral describes it as "si:ch211-81a5.2 (ENSDARG00000094631.2)". The record is from RNAcentral. Lineage: Eukaryota; Metazoa; Chordata; Actinopteri; Cypriniformes; Danionidae.
AAAGAGAAAACUCAUAAAGGAUUGAAACCACUUAAGGGUCAUCUAUAAGAUUGUGAGCUCCAAGUCAAAAUUAACAUUUGGAAGAUGAUGCGAAUCAUCCCGUCCUCCACAAGACACAGCUGCAAUUGGUCAUUUAUUCACAUGGAAUUAAGCAUUUAUACCAUGGGUUUGCCUGAACACCUGCAUACAUGAGAAAAUGUAAUGGAGUGCUGCAGUAACAGUGCAGGGAGCAAACCCAAAAAGCCAGGAUGUUGAAACGUUCUGUGUGCAUAUUCAAUAACUUUUCUAUGCCCCAAGGUAGAAAAUGUCUUUUACACACGCCUACACAGUCAGCAUACAGGUAAGUAGGAUUUCAACUCCGGAAUGGUGCAUAGUGGGCUAUACAGCCUAGAGGGAUGAACAACUCAGUGUAAAUAUGGUCUGGAUUCACAUUAAUGUCACAGAAACUGCUACAAUACACGUAUGAUCUACUCUAGUCCACACAAAUUACAAUUAUAUACAAACGUCAGCACAGACCUCAAAGCUUAUUUGAACCUAUUUGGAGUUCUGAAUGCUUUAUUUUAAGGUGGAGACACAGAUACAGAAGUAUUACUGUAGACUGUUGCUGCCAAGAUGCACUUUUGCUGGCAAACCCUGUGAUAUAAACAAA